This is a long non-coding RNA of Pezoporus occidentalis (night parrot), 538 nucleotides long. RefSeq lists it as uncharacterized. The record is from RefSeq and is a predicted model, not a curated record. Lineage: Eukaryota; Metazoa; Chordata; Aves; Psittaciformes; Psittacidae. The transcript is spliced from 3 exons.
UCUGCUAAGAACUCAGGCUCUGUGCGUCAAGAACUGGAGGGAGCAAGAUGAAGCCCAGUGUUAGGACAAAGUUAUUUGGAUUUUACUUUCUCCUUAGCUUAACUACCACUACUUAGAGUUCCAGGCUGAAUUUGGAGGACAAGUAGUCUGGGAAAAAGCAAUGAAUUCCUUUUAACUUUUAACAAGGCAGCCUUAACCAAAAAGCAUGAACCUUUCCACUUCAUUCAUCUCAGUGAAGUGCCAGCUUCGCACUCCUUGGUUUCACUCAAUGUCAGUGCCACUUGCUUUAUUGCUGAGUGUUUUAUCUGGAGGUUUGGAAGGGGCAUGCUGAGAUGUGCAGGGAAAUAAAAGCACAGGAAAGAAGAACAAUGAUACAGAAAGGAAGAAGGCAUCAGAUGUCUUCUGCAUAUGGGUGACGAGCCCCUCUGGUGACUGCAGAAGAAAUGGGAGCUGGAGCUUUGUUUGUCUCACCCAUCACAACGCCCAACCCCUGAGGGCAGCCACUUCUGUUGCACUGAUGCCAAAGACAGAAGUCUUU